AGCAGUCGCCGCGGUAAUACGAAGGGGGCUAGCGUUGUUCGGAAUUACUGGGCGUAAAGCGCACGUAGGCGGAUAUUUAAGUCAGGGGUGAAAUCCCGCAGCUCAACUGCGGAACUGCCUUUGAUACUGGGUAUCUUGAGUAUGGAAGAGGUGAGUGGAAUUCCGAGUGUAGAGGUGAAAUUCGUAGAUAUUCGGAGGAACACCAGUGGCGAAGGCGGCUCACUGGUCCAUUACUGACGCUGAGGUGCGAAAGCGUGGGGAGCAAACAGGAUUAGAUACCCCAGUAGUCCCUGUCUCUUAUAC
RNAcentral lists this ribosomal RNA (303 nucleotides) under uncultured bacterium. Its description in RNAcentral is "partial 16S ribosomal RNA". It matches the Rfam family "Bacterial small subunit ribosomal RNA", at positions 507 to 807 of the family's 1533-position model. The record is from RNAcentral.